This 1313-nucleotide ribosomal RNA is filed under the name Bacillus subtilis subsp. subtilis. RNAcentral describes it as "bacterial SSU rRNA". It matches the Rfam family "Bacterial small subunit ribosomal RNA", at positions 56 to 1351 of the family's 1533-position model. Lineage: Bacteria; Bacillati; Bacillota; Bacilli; Caryophanales; Bacillaceae. The record is from RNAcentral.
UGCAAGUCGAGCGGACAGAUGGGAGCUUGCUCCCUGAUGUUAGCGGCGGACGGGUGAGUAACACGUGGGUAACCUGCCUGUAAGACUGGGAUAACUCCGGGAAACCGGGGCUAAUACCGGAUGGUUGUUUGAACCGCAUGGUUCAAACAUAAAAGGUGGCUUCGGCUACCACUUACAGAUGGACCCGCGGCGCAUUAGCUAGUUGGUGAGGUAAUGGCUCACCAAGGCAACGAUGCGUAGCCGACCUGAGAGGGUGAUCGGCCACACUGGGACUGAGACACGGCCCAGACUCCUACGGGAGGCAGCAGUAGGGAAUCUUCCGCAAUGGACGAAAGUCUGACGGAGCAACGCCGCGUGAGUGAUGAAGGUUUUCGGAUCGUAAAGCUCUGUUGUUAGGGAAGAACAAGUACCGUUCGAAUAGGGCGGUACCUUGACGGUACCUAACCAGAAAGCCACGGCUAACUACGUGCCAGCAGCCGCGGUAAUACGUAGGUGGCAAGCGUUGUCCGGAAUUAUUGGGCGUAAAGGGCUCGCAGGCGGUUUCUUAAGUCUGAUGUGAAAGCCCCCGGCUCAACCGGGGAGGGUCAUUGGAAACUGGGGAACUUGAGUGCAGAAGAGGAGAGUGGAAUUCCACGUGUAGCGGUGAAAUGCGUAGAGAUGUGGAGGAACACCAGUGGCGAAGGCGACUCUCUGGUCUGUAACUGACGCUGAGGAGCGAAAGCGUGGGGAGCGAACAGGAUUAGAUACCCUGGUAGUCCACGCCGUAAACGAUGAGUGCUAAGUGUUAGGGGGGUUUCCGCCCCUUAGUGCUGCAGCUAACGCAUUAAGCACUCCGCCUGGGGAGUACGGUCGCAAGACUGAAACUCAAAGGAAUUGACGGGGGCCCGCACAAGCGGUGGAGCAUGUGGUUUAAUUCGAAGCAACGCGAAGAACCUUACCAGGUCUUGACAUCCUCUGACAAUCCUAGAGAUAGGACGUCCCCUUCGGGGGCAGAGUGACAGGUGGUGCAUGGUUGUCGUCAGCUCGUGUCGUGAGAUGUUGGGUUAAGUCCCGCAACGAGCGCAACCCUUGAUCUUAGUUGCCAGCAUUCAGUUGGGCACUCUAAGGUGACUGCCGGUGACAAACCGGAGGAAGGUGGGGAUGACGUCAAAUCAUCAUGCCCCUUAUGACCUGGGCUACACACGUGCUACAAUGGACAGAACAAAGGGCAGCGAAACCGCGAGGUUAAGCCAAUCCCACAAAUCUGUUCUCAGUUCGGAUCGCAGUCUGCAACUCGACUGCGUGAAGCUGGAAUCGCUAGUAAUCGCGGAUCA